This 468-nucleotide ribosomal RNA is filed under the name uncultured bacterium. RNAcentral's name for it is "partial 16S ribosomal RNA". It matches the Rfam family "Bacterial small subunit ribosomal RNA", at positions 28 to 507 of the family's 1533-position model. The record is from RNAcentral.
GAUGAACGCUGGCGGCGUGCUUAACACAUGCAAGUCGAACGGAAAGGCCCUGCUUUUGUGGGGUGCUCGAGGGGCGAACGGGUGAGUAACACGUGAGUAACCUGCCCCUGACUUAGGGAUAACUUCAGGAAACAGGGGUUCACACCGGAUAGGAGCUCCUGCUCCAUGGUGGGGGUUGGAAAGUUUCGGUGGUGGGGGAUGGACUGGCGGCUUAUCAGCUUGCUGGUGUGGUGGUGGCUUACCAAGGUUUUGACGGGUAGCCGGCCUGAGAGGGUGACCGGCCUCAUUGGGACUGAGAUACGGCACAGACUCGUACGGGAGGCAGCAGUGGGGAAUAUUGCACAAUGGGGGGAAGCCUGAUGCAGCAACGCCGCGUGCGGGAUGAUGGCCUUCGGGUUGUAAACCGCUUUCGCCUGUGACGAAGCGUGAGUGACGGUAAUGGGUAAAGAAGCACCGGCUAACUACGUG